AGCUCUUCUCCGCCAAUCAGAAAGGGCGUCUCCUCCUGCGACUGCAUUCCAAUCUGCUUGAAAGUACCAAUCAGACACGAGGGUUGGCCAUGUGUCAGUUUUGCCGGACAAUGAUCAGGAAGUCGGGCUGGAGUGGCAGGACUGAUGCCCAUGGUGGGGAAGAGCACAACUACAUCCAGAUUAACUGAGAUAGUAAUUACAAAGGGAGAAGAGUUCUUGAAGUCCAUUUAGGAGAGCAUCAGAUUGUUUCUGGCUCAUGAGGAAGAAACUUUCCCUGGAAUGGAGGCCGAGGGGGAACCUGAUGGAGGUGUACAAAAUUAGGAGGAGCAUAUAUAAAGUAGAUGCUAGAAUAUUUGCCCAUUGGAGAAGUAUCUCAAGCAAGAGGGCAUGGGCUUAAGAGGUUUAGAGGGGAUCUGAGGAAAAAAUAUUUCAUCCAGAGGGUGCUUCGUAUCUCGAAUACCCUGUCCUAGAGAAGGUGGUGAAGGCAGAGACUCUCACAACAUUUAAGAAGAAAUAAACACUUGUAAACAUAAGAUACUCGGCAGAUGCUGGAACUCUUGAGCACCGAUUUGAUUCACCAACACAGGGAAAGUACUGGUGAACAUGCCAUGCACCAUCAAUCUUUAGGACAUGUCACUCAAGACUUCUACUAAUAUUAUUUUUUGUGACAGUAUAUGCUAUCGUAACUAUAUGUGCUGUUUGUAACUGUAUUUACUGUGUUUUGCACCUUAGCCCCUGAGGAAUGAUGUUUUGGUCCAAAACUGGGAGAUAUGUAUUCAAUCCUUUAUUAGCAAUCAGCAAACAUACAAUCUUGAAGCGAUGAAAGCAUACUCAAGUGUAAGUUAAGUGUAAUUGAGUGGUCAGGAAAAUAUACAACUGCUGUCGGACCCCAGCCCCAAACUGUUACGAAUAAUACGAAUAAAGUACAAAUACUAAACUUAUUCCUUUCACUUUUACCACACCCCCCACUCACAUGACUAGUUACCAUAGUAAACAUUAUAAACACGCAACACAGAAUACAAUGCAGAUAGAGAACGAGUACAUGGCUCCUACAUUCCAGCUGCCGAAUUAUUACACUAUAAUAACUACAACUACAUGCUACCAAGACACAGGAGACACAAAAUCUCAAUAUUUACACAAAAUGUCCUAUUUCUGGUAAGCAGACCAUCCUGGAUUGUGAUCUUCUCCUGACAAACCAGAUUGUUCCUCCUGACUAUGUUCAGGGAAAUCUGACUUGAAGUGCUGCUGCCAAAGCUCAUCCAAGUACAAAUCUGAAGUUCCAUUAACUGUCAGUUCUCUUCACCACCUUUCAGUAGCCCAUUUACAGUAUUUUUCUGAUUGCAUAGAGCCCAUCAUUAAUACUACAAGUCACUUGAAGCUGCUCUAAUGUCUUUGGUACAUUCACUUCUAUAAACAGUUGAAUUUUCAGCCAACAUAUGUGCUUCAGGUAAGGCCAUUCCUGAAGAUCUCUCUGACAAGGAAUGUUCCCUUCGUGGACAAACAUACAUUCCUGUUUGACAGUUCACUUUAGUUCUCACUAUCUAAGUCAACUACUUCCAAUCCUUAAACAGCAUAGCUACUCACAACAUUCUCUUGACCUAUGGAACGUAAGAGAAUGCAUGUUCUUUUUCCAGUCUAGUUAAGUUUGUUCAUGAGACUCUCUGUGCAAGACACAGCUGUACUUCCUUGAUCUGGGAAAGCAUAAGUAACCACUGUCUUAUUACCCUUCUUAGACUUCGCCUGAACUGGAAUUAUAGGAAGUUUACAACCAAGAUCACCAGCUCUGUAAGGCUACUCAUACUGUGCUUCAUUCGUUCAUGGCUUGUUUUGAAUAUACAGUACACACUUUUCUUCAGAGUGAGUAUGAAGUAUGAAGAGAUGUUUGCCACUGCAUACCUUGCAUGAAAGACUCCUCUUGCAAUCCUUGUUGAAGUGUCCUGUACACAGGCAACCAAAGGAGAUACCAUUUUCUUUUAGGAAGACAAUUAUGAACCUUUUUUUCCAGCUGAGAGCACAAAUCCAAAGUUCACCCUGGCAGAACAGGCAAAACUUUUCAUAAAUUCUGGGUUCAGUUUUAGCUUCACCUGUCACCAUAGCCAAAGUAGUAGAAAAGCUGCUUCCUUUAGCUUUGGAAUGAAUUUGUGAUCCAGUUUUGUUCACACUUUUGCUUACUGUCAGUGUAUUUCUUCCCAAACAGCAGGUGUGUAGCAAUCUUUACUUACCUUUCAAUAAAAUCAACAAUGUCAGUGAAAGUAACCUUA
Hypanus sabinus (Atlantic stingray) is the source of this 2261-nucleotide long non-coding RNA. RefSeq lists it as uncharacterized. Lineage: Eukaryota; Metazoa; Chordata; Chondrichthyes; Myliobatiformes; Dasyatidae. The record is from RefSeq and is a predicted model, not a curated record. The transcript has 2 exons.